UAGGGAAUCUUCGGCAAUGGACGAAAGUCUGACCGAGCAACGCCGCGUGAGUGAAGAAGGUUUUCGGAUCGUAAAACUCUGUUGUUAGAUAAGAACAAGGAUGUUAGUAACUGAACGUCCCCUGACGGUAUCUAACCAGAAAGCCACGGCUAACUACGUGCCAGCAGCCGCGGUAAUACGUAGGUGGCAAGCGUUGUCCGGAUUUAUUGGGCGUAAAGCGAGCGCAGGCGGUUUCUUAAGUCUGAUGUGAAAGCCCCCGGCUCAACCGGAGAGGGUCAUUGGAAACUGGGAGGAUUGAGUGCAGAAGAGGAGAGUGGAAUUCCAUGUGUAGCGGUGAAGUGCGUAGAUAUAUGGAGGAACGCCAGUGGCGAAGGCGGCUCUCUGGUCUGUAACUGACGCUGAGGCUCGAAAGCGUGGGGAGCAAACAGG
RNAcentral lists this ribosomal RNA (429 nucleotides) under Gemmatimonadota bacterium. RNAcentral's name for it is "Gemmatimonadetes bacterium partial 16S ribosomal RNA". It matches the Rfam family "Bacterial small subunit ribosomal RNA", at positions 355 to 776 of the family's 1533-position model. The record is from RNAcentral. Lineage: Bacteria; Pseudomonadati; Gemmatimonadota.